Molecule: RNA transcript, 2789 nt
Organism: Papaver somniferum (opium poppy)
Lineage: Eukaryota; Viridiplantae; Streptophyta; Magnoliopsida; Ranunculales; Papaveraceae
Exons: 4
Source: RefSeq, a predicted model, not a curated record
AUCACUCCCCUCUUUCCACAACCAAACCCCCUUUUUUCCUUGAAUCCCUUAUUUUGUUUCUUCGUUUAAUUUCUGCCAUUACUAUCUGAAAUUUCAAUGGGGAACUUUAAUCUGCUUCCGAAAGAGAUCAUGUUAGAGACCUUAUCUCGUGUUCCAACAGAAUUCGUCCUUGAGUGUAAAUUGGUAUCGAAACCAUGGAAAAAUUUGAUUCAACAUCCAUCUUUCUCGUUGAUCCACUUGAAUCAUCUCAAUAAUCUCGAUUCUGCCCAUGAUCCUGGAAUACCUUAGUGUCAUUGAAAGAAUUAGGAGAAAAAUAUACGGAACUAAUGGACUCAGGUGAAAGAGCAAGAUCUAGCAGGGAGACAGAAAGCAGUGGUCAUGAGCUGACGGAACAGAAGGAAGAAAAAGAUCUCUAAAUGAGUAUAAACGGUUUCAGUUCAAAAGUCUAAAGCCAUAGAUCUUCGUCCAUUUGCAGGUUGCUGAAUUGGUAUACAGAAGGCUGCAAGUCUGGUGUUUAGAAGAUGAGCAUGCAGUCUUUUGGUAAGUUAUGUUGCAGACCACAAAGAGACAAGUAAUGUAGAAUAAUUUGUUCCAAACAAGUAAACAAUCAAAAAUAAGAACUGGUAAUGUCAGCCUAGGCACUUAGCUGUAUGCAUUUUAGUCGUCAUGAUGCCCCAUGGUUGUUGUUUUUUCUUUUUGUUUUGCCUCUUAAAUUAAAGCUUGUUUUUGCUUAAUUAUACUCUGAUCAGUGUUAGGAUUUUGGCUUCAAGAUUAGCCUAGCUUAAAAAGUCUUGACUUGCUUGUGCGUUGACCAUUUAGAAUUGUGUAUUUGUCGGAUCAUGAAUACUGUGGUUUACAUUUCACGGUAGAAGGCGAGCAUUAGAGGCUUCCUCUUCGGAUGGUACUCAAGUGACAAAGCAAACACCUCAAGAAUGGAUUAAAAUAGACAACACCUUGGGCGCUUGACCCUCAAUCACCUAUAAGGUAUCACCCUGCAAUGCAACAUUUUUAGUUAUAAGACAAUAUAUUUCAUUUCCCCCUCGGAAACAAAAACAACCCAUUUCUAAGUAUCAGACACUCUCCACAACCAAACCCCUUUUCCCCUUGAAACCCUAGUUUUUUCAUACUUCGAUUUACUCUCUCUUCUGCAAUUAAAUCUCUGAAAUCGCUUCUCCUCAAUUGCAAUUUCAAUGGGGAAUUUUAAUAUGCUCCCAAAAGAGAUCAUGUUAGAAAUCUUCUCCCGUGUACCAGCUGAAUCUCUAUUAGAAUGCAAAUCGGUAUCAAGACCAUGGAGAAAUUUGCUUCGACAUCCAUCUUUUCCGCAGAUGCACUUGAAUCAUCUCAAUGAAAUUGAUUCUGCAGGUAAUUUGAGUUUGAUUUUUUAUACAAAAUGGUCUGAACCGUUUUACUAUACCGAGUAUGAUGAAAAUUUAAACCGUUUUAAUAGAACAAUAAGGAUCGAUUUAAGACCUCCAUUUGAAAAUUAUUAUAUCCUUUGCUCUUGUAAUGGUUUAAUCUGUUUCAGUGCAUUCCAUGAGAGUUAUUAUCCGCAACCUGUAUAUAUCUGUAAUCCAAUCACCAGAGAGUAUAUUGUGAUCCCGACGAUUGAAGGAAAAGCCUUGUCAACUGGAUUUGGUUACAGCCCUUCAACCAACAAGUACAAAGUUGUUAGAAUUUUUAGAAAUCAGAAAAACCCAGAUUGUGGAGUUAUUCGGGUAUACAAUCUUGGCAGUGGCAUUGGAUGGAGAAACAGUGGAAAGGUGGACUAUGAUGUCAAUUGUCAUGUCUUUUUUCCCACGAGGUGUGUUUGCCAAUGGUGCUAUUCAUUGGUGGAAUAAAAAAGGAACCAUUGUUUCCUUGGAUUUGGCUGAUGAAGUGUUUCUGGAACUUCCAUCUCUACCGUUUUUGCUACAAGCUGGUAAUCCGAAUCCUAUUAUUAAACUACAUGGUUUGGGGUUUUUUUUUAUGUGCAUGCUAUCGCAAUGGUCUAAGUUUUGACAUGUGGGUUUUUAAGAAGAAUAUUUGGAGUAAAGAGUUUAGUAAUAUUAAUGGAAAACCGAUCAGCUUUAGGAAGAGUGGCGGACUUCUAUGCUACGGUAGAUGUGGUAAAAACGUCUAUCUCUACACUUCAAAAGCUUCAUCUACCAAAGGCUUGUGAAUUUUGGAAAGGAUUUCCAUGUUGGAGUCCCUCACAAGAACUCCUUAGUGUCGUUGAAAGCAUUAGGGGAAGAAGUUACGAAACUGUUGGAUUCAGGUGAAAGAGCAAGAUCUAGUGGGGAACAAGAAAGCAGUGAUCAUUUUCCAACAGAGAAGAAGGAAGAAAAAAAUCUCUAAAAUAAUGGGAACCGGUUGCCGAAUUUGUAUCGACUUCUUCAUGUCGGCAAAUCUGGCGUUAAGAAGACGAACAUUCAGUCUUUUGGUACUUAUGUUGCAGAAGGCAUAGAGACAAGUAAUGAACAAACGAGACUAGGACUCGAAGCCAAUUUAAUCUUAAAUGAAAUCGUUACUGAUUUGUUACAAACAAGUAAACAAUAUGGAAGAUCAAGUAGUUGUUGUUAAAGUAAACAAUCAGAAUUAAGAACUGGCAGCGUCGCCUAGUCGAGAAGGGUGUCCUGAGACUCAUGAUGCCCCAUGGUUUGUCAUGUUUCCUUUUUAUUUUGCUUGUUAAUUUAAAACUUGAUUUUGCUUAUACUCUUCCAAGCUAGGAUUUUGGCUUGAAAAACAGCAUAGCUUAUAAAGUCUUGACUUGCUUAUGUUAUUGACCAUUUAGCAGUAUGGGAUCCAUGAAU